Molecule: ribosomal RNA, 849 nt
Filed under: Bacillus sp. (in: firmicutes)
Lineage: Bacteria; Bacillati; Bacillota; Bacilli; Caryophanales; Bacillaceae
Description: bacterial SSU rRNA
Rfam family: Bacterial small subunit ribosomal RNA
Source: RNAcentral
CAGAAGGGAGCUUGCUCCCGGAUGUUAGCGGCGGACGGGUGAGUAACACGUGGGUAACCUGCCUGUAAGACUGGGAUAACUCCGGGAAACCGGAGCUAAUACCGGAUAGUUCCUUGAACCGCAUGGUUCAAGGAUGAAAGACGGUUUCGGCUGUCACUUACAGAUGGACCCGCGGCGCAUUAGCUAGUUGGUGGGGUAAUGGCUCACCAAGGCGACGAUGCGUAGCCGACCUGAGAGGGUGAUCGGCCACACUGGGACUGAGACACGGCCCAGACUCCUACGGGAGGCAGCAGUAGGGAAUCUUCCGCAAUGGACGAAAGUCUGACGGAGCAACGCCGCGUGAGUGAUGAAGGUUUUCGGAUCGUAAAGCUCUGUUGUUAGGGAAGAACAAGUGCGAGAGUAACUGCUCGCACCUUGACGGUACCUAACCAGAAAGCCACGGCUAACUACGUGCCAGCAGCCGCGGUAAUACGUAGGUGGCAAGCGUUGUCCGGAAUUAUUGGGCGUAAAGGGCUCGCAGGCGGUUUCUUAAGUCUGAUGUGAAAGCCCCCGGCUCAACCGGGGAGGGUCAUUGGAAACUGGGAAACUUGAGUGCAGAAGAGGAGAGUGGAAUUCCACGUGUAGCGGUGAAAUGCGUAGAGAUGUGGAGGAACACCAGUGGCGAAGGCGACUCUCUGGUCUGUAACUGACGCUGAGGAGCGAAAGCGUGGGGAGCGAACAGGAUUAGAUACCCUGGUAGUCCACGCCGUAAACGAUGAGUGCUAAGUGUUAGGGGGUUUCCGCCCCUUAGUGCUGCAGCUAACGCAUUAAGCACUCCGCCUGGGGAGUACGGUCGCAAGACUGAAACUC